CCCGCCGGCGACCGGCGCACGGGUGAGUAACACGUAUGGAACCUGCCCGCAGCAGGGGGAUAAGCGGAAGAAAUUCCGUCUAAUACCGCGUAACACCGCAGAGGGGCAUCCCUCGGCGGUUAAAGAUUCAUCGGCUGCGGAUGGCCAUGCGGCGCAUUAGCUAGUCGGCGGGGUAACGACCCACCGAGGCGACGAUGCGUAGGGGUUCUGAGAGGAAGGUCCCCCACACUGGUACUGAGACACGGACCAGACUCCUACGGAAGGCAGCAG
This 270-nucleotide ribosomal RNA is filed under the name uncultured bacterium. Its description in RNAcentral is "partial 16S ribosomal RNA". It matches the Rfam family "Bacterial small subunit ribosomal RNA", at positions 84 to 354 of the family's 1533-position model. The record is from RNAcentral.